Molecule: ribosomal RNA, 253 nt
Filed under: uncultured bacterium
Lineage: Bacteria
Description: partial 16S ribosomal RNA
Rfam family: Bacterial small subunit ribosomal RNA
Source: RNAcentral
UACGUAGGGUGCAAGCGUUACUCGGAAUUACUGGGCGUAAAGCGUGCGCAGGCGGUCUUGCAAGUCAGAUGUGAAAUCCCCGGGCUCAACCUGGGAACUGCAUUUGUGACUGCAAGGCUGGAGUGCGGCAGAGGGGGAUGGAAUUCCGCGUGUAGCAGUGAAAUGCGUAGAUAUGCGGAGGAACACCGAUGGCGAAGGCAAUCCCCUGGGCCUGCACUGACGCUCAUGCACGAAAGCGUGGGGAGCAAACAGG